UCCAGACUCCUACGGGAGGCAGCAGUGGGGAAUAUUGCACCAUGGGGGAAACCCUGCUGCAGCGACGCCGCUUGAGUGACGCCGUAUUUCGGUAUUUCCCGCUCUAUCAGCCUUAACGAGACCCGCCGGUACCUGCCUCUUCAGCCCCGUCUCCCUACGUGCCCGCCGCCGCGGUAAUCCGUCGGGGGCAACCUUCAUCCGGAUUUCCUGGGUGUAAAGGGAGCGUAGACGGCAGCGCAAGUCUGAAGUGAAAUCCCAGGGCGGAACCAUGGAACUGCUUUGGAAACUGUGCAGCUGGAGUGCAGGAGAGGGAAGCGGAAUUCCUAGUGUAGCGGUGAAAUGCGUAGAGAUGAGGAGGAACACCAGUGGCGAAGGCGGCUGACUGGACUGUAACUGACGUUGAGGCUCGAAAGCGUGGGGAGCAAACAGGAUUAGAUACCCCUGUAA
Molecule: ribosomal RNA, 447 nt
Filed under: uncultured bacterium
Lineage: Bacteria
Description: bacterial SSU rRNA
Rfam family: Bacterial small subunit ribosomal RNA
Source: RNAcentral